Cryptomeria japonica (Japanese cedar) is the source of this 306-nucleotide long non-coding RNA. RefSeq lists it as uncharacterized. Lineage: Eukaryota; Viridiplantae; Streptophyta; Pinopsida; Cupressales; Cupressaceae. The transcript is spliced from 3 exons. The record is from RefSeq and is a predicted model, not a curated record.
GGGUUUUUCCUUAUGCAUUACAGUCAUUUAUGGCGUACACAUUUGGAAAGACUUUACAAUCUCUAUAGUGAUCGAAAACUAAAGGUUGCAUUAGAUCCAAAGCUAUUUCUAGGAGUGAAGUCAAUUGCAGAUGCUGUUGAAUAUCUCCACUCUGGUCAAAGCAUAGGCAAGGUGGUGGUCUGCAUUGAUCCAAGUUUCAGCCAAGUAAUUGCACGGUUGUAAGCAUGGGAAAUUGAACUAUUCUUGCAAAUAUGCAGAAUAAAUUGCAUGUUCACAGUAGUGCCUGCAGUAAUUAUUUUAUUUAUA